UUAAAUAAUCCAAACUGGAGAAGGAAUUUCCAGGUCAAAAGAACCAAACACCCCUCUCCUAAGUUCAUCACGAAAGUCACGAUUUGGGAGCCCUAAUUUAUAAAAAAUGCUCAAUUUAUAUCGGCAUUACAGUGAAAUUCCUCAAACAUCUCCGUCGAAGGCAUGAACCCUACUCCCAAAAUCAUAAUUAUUCCAAAAUUGAAUAACUAUAAAAGGCGAUUGUUGAAUAUGUUGGUAUGGAGAGAACAUGUAGAGGUAAGAAAAAUUUUCCCUUUUCGUUAAUUUAAUUUCAUUGGAUCUAUAGUGCAAACUAGUCUUUUUGAUCCGGUUGAGUUAAUGGAAUCGAGAUAACAUAAUGAAAUGCGCACAAUGCUCUUAUCCACGGCUCUGAUUUUCCAUUUCAUUUGUUUUCAUCUCUUAAGCUUCGUUCUUUGAUUUUGGGAGUUCACUAGUGCAGUUCUUAGAUGUGGUAUGCCCAAAAAAGCUUAGUUCUUUCUCCAAAGUCACUUUCAGUCUGCUAUCUUGUCUCACCCGUGUGUGUUAUAAUAUGGCUUGGGCGAGGAUCCAAUUUCCCAUUUCGUUAGUCCUCUGUGUUUUUACAUCAUAGGGCUAAUAUGCUAAUAGCUCCAAUUUAGUUUUUACUACAUCAUAUGUAAUUAAUGGAUGCAUUACAUUUUAUGUUUCAUAGGAAAGACCAAGGAGACUUGCCACAUUUACAAAGAACCAAGCCACCAAUUAUGGGUAUACCCAAUAAAACUACAAUGUCCAAAUUGUGCCGGAGGCAUCAUGAAAUGGAUGGAAUUAGAAAGGACGAAGGAGUAGGUCAGUUAUUCUUUUGUUGCACUAGAGAUAAUUGGGUUUUCGAGUGGAGAAAAGUCCUACCCACAACCGUAAUCAAUUCCAAGAAGAAGGUCAAUGCUGUGGUGUUAAAGAAGAACGAAAGGGCUUUUCAAUUGAAGAUAUGUCCAGUUUGUUCAAGAUUGCGUCUGAAAUUAUCAAACAACAAGAUGUUAACAUAUUCUUUAAACUAAGCUUCUGCAAGGCUAAAGGAGAACGGAACUCAAUGGGAAACGAAGGCCAAGAGAGUCGUGAACAUAUUCCAUAAAUGAAGGCGAUGAGAUGAGAAUAAUUAGCUUUUAAUUUCAUAUUUUUUUAAUAACAACUAGACUAUUCAUGCUUCUAAUUUCAUAUUUAUUGUUUUCAUUUAACUGGAGACUAUGCUAUGUUGAUAAUUGAUUUCGUGAUGUUGUGAUUUCUAAAAAAG
This 1264-nucleotide long non-coding RNA is filed under the name Olea europaea subsp. europaea. Lineage: Eukaryota; Viridiplantae; Streptophyta; Magnoliopsida; Lamiales; Oleaceae. The record is from RNAcentral.